This 71-nucleotide transfer RNA is filed under the name Hypoponera sauteri. RNAcentral's name for it is "tRNA-Ile". The record is from RNAcentral. Lineage: Eukaryota; Metazoa; Arthropoda; Insecta; Hymenoptera; Formicidae.
AAUGAAAUGCCUGAUUAAAAGGAUUAUUUUGAUAGAAUAAAUUAUAUAUAAAUUAUUUUAUAUUUUCAUUA